Pelobates cultripes (western spadefoot toad) is the source of this 585-nucleotide non-coding RNA. The record is from the annotation of a GenBank genome assembly. NCBI's taxonomy places the organism in Eukaryota, Metazoa, Chordata, Amphibia, Anura, Pelobatidae.
GCUGCAUUUUGUAAUUGGUGGUAUAUCUAAAAACAGAUUGAAAAAGCUGCAGAUCUGCUUUUAUUAUAAGAAAGGGAAAUGACCAAUCAGAGGCAACUUGAAGGUUUGAUUUUGAACUCAAGUUCUCCAGACUGCGAGCCAGGGAGUCCACAGAAACGCAGUGCACACAGAUCUGAAGUGGGCUAUAUGGACGCACGUAAGCGAAUGUUUGCCAAUAGGUACAUUUAUAGUUGGAGGAGUAGGCAGGUACGCUCUGCGGAUCUAGCAUAAUUGGGAAUGUUUCUGCCAUUAGUUCUAAAAGUGCCGAUUCCAAAUAGAAAUUAGAACUUUUAUAAAAUACAUUUACAUGAGAUGCUCCUGACACAUAAAGCACUUUGGCAAGCUGAAGUGCUAUGUGUGUCUGUAGUAUCCCUGGAAAUUGAAUUAAACAGAGAUGGCCCAAGUUACAAUCUUUUUACAAAUGUGCUUCUCUCAUCCUCUUGCCCCUUUGUCAUCCCUGUGUCUCCUCCCAUGGAGCACCAUUCUUCAGAAUCCUGUUGUCUCCUGUUAUCAGAUCUCUUCACCUUACACUUCCCUAAUGAUUCC